AGUGAACGCUGGCGGUAGGCCUAACACAUGCAAGUCGAACGGCAGCACAGUAAGUGCUUGCUCUUACGUGUGGCGAGUGGCGGACGGUUGCGGGAGACAUCGGAAUCUACUUUUUCGUGGGGGCUAACGGAGGGAAACUUACGCUAAUAACACAUUCGUCCUACGGGUGAAAGCAGGGGAUCUUCGGACUUUGCGGGAUUGUAUAAGCCGAUGUCGGAUUAGCUAGUUGGCGGGGUAAAGGCCUACCAAGGCGACGAUCCGUAGCUGGCCUGAGAGGGUGAUCGGCCACACUGGAACUGAGACACGGUCCAGACUCCUACGGGAGGCAGCAGUGGGGAAUAUUGCGCAAUGGGCGAAAGCCUGAUCCAGCAAUACCGCGUGAGUGAUGAAGGUCUUCGGGUUGUAAAGCCCUGUUGUUGGGAAAGAAAAACAGCAGAUUUAUCCCUGCCUGUUUUGACGGUACCCAAAGAAUAAGCACCGGCUAACUUCGUG
Molecule: ribosomal RNA, 492 nt
Filed under: uncultured bacterium
Lineage: Bacteria
Description: partial 16S ribosomal RNA
Rfam family: Bacterial small subunit ribosomal RNA
Source: RNAcentral